UACGGAGGAUGCGAGCGUUAUCCGGAUUUACUGGGUUUAAAGGGUGCGUAGGCGGGAUGCCAAGUCAGCGGUAAAAAUGCGGUGCUCAACGCCGUCGAGCCGUUGAAACUGGCGUUCUUGAGUGGGCGAGAAGUAUGCGGAAUGCGUGGUGUAGCGGUGAAAUGCAUAGAUAUCACGCAGAACUCCGAUUGCGAAGGCAGCAUACCGGCGCCCUACUGACGCUGAGGCUCGAAAGCGUGGGGAGCAAACAGG
RNAcentral lists this ribosomal RNA (252 nucleotides) under uncultured bacterium. RNAcentral's name for it is "partial 16S ribosomal RNA". It matches the Rfam family "Bacterial small subunit ribosomal RNA", at positions 524 to 776 of the family's 1533-position model. The record is from RNAcentral.